Molecule: ribosomal RNA, 564 nt
Filed under: uncultured Glomeromycotina
Lineage: Eukaryota; Fungi; Glomeromycota
Description: SSU rRNA
Rfam family: Eukaryotic small subunit ribosomal RNA
Source: RNAcentral
UUGGAGGGCAAGUCUGGUGCCAGCAGCCGCGGUAAUUCCAGCUCCAAUAGCGUAUAUUAAAGUUGUUGCAGUUAAAAAGCUCGUAGUUGAAUUUCGGGAUCAAUUUAUUGGUCGUGCUAUUGUACGUACUGGUAUUAUUGAUUUCUACCUUCUGACGAACCAUGAUGUCAUUAAUUUGGUGUCAUGGGGAAUCAGGACUGUUACUUUGAAAAAAUUAGAGUGUUUAAAGCAGGCUCACGCUUGAAUACAUUAGCAUGGAAUAACGAAAUAGGACGUUUGAUUCUAUUUUGUUGGUUUCUAGGAUCGACGUAAUGAUUAAUAGGGAUAGUUGGGGGCAUUAGUAUUCAAUUGUCAGAGGUGAAAUUCUUGGAUUUAUUGAAGACUAACUACUGCGAAAGCAUUUGCCAAGGAUGUUUUCAUUAAUCAAGAACGAAAGUUAGGGGAUCGAAGACGAUCAGAUACCGUCGUAGUCUUAAUCAUAAACUAUGCCGACUAGGGAUCGGAUGAUGUUAAUUUUUUAAUGACUCAUUCGGCGCCUUACGGGAAACCAAAGUGUUUGGGUUC